AACGAAUGCUGGCGGCGUGCCUAACACAUGCAAGUCGAACGAGAAAGGGGCUUCGGCUCCGAGUAAAGUGGCGCACGGGUGAGUAACACGUGGGUAACCUGCCUCUAAGAUUGGGAUAACUCGUCGAAAGAUGAGCUAAUACCGAAUAAGACCACAGUUCCCGCGGGAACAGGGGUCAAAGGUAGCCUCUGCUUGCAAGCUAUCACUUAGAGAUGGGCCUGCGCACCAUUAGCUAGUUGGUAGGGUAACGGCCUACCAAGGCAAAGAUGGUUAGCUGGUCUGAGAGGAUGAUCAGCCACACUGGAACUGAGACACGGUCCAGACUCCUACGGGAGGCAGCAGUGGGGAAUAUUGCGCAAUGGGCGAAAGCUUGACGCAGCAACGCCGCGUGAGUGAUGAAGGCCUUCGGGUCGUAAAGCUCUGUCGGGAGGAACGAAUGCUCCUGAGGUUAACAGCCUCGGGAGGUGACGGUACCUUCAAAGGAAGCACCGGCUAACUCUGUG
This 503-nucleotide ribosomal RNA is filed under the name uncultured bacterium. RNAcentral describes it as "partial 16S ribosomal RNA". It matches the Rfam family "Bacterial small subunit ribosomal RNA", at positions 29 to 507 of the family's 1533-position model. The record is from RNAcentral.